UACGGGGGGAGCAAGCGUUGUUCGGAUUUACUGGGCGUAAAGGGCGCGUAGGCGGUCGUGACAAGUCACUUGUGAAAUCUCCGGGCUUAACCCGGAGACGCCAUCCGAUACUGCUGUGACUUGAGUCUGGUAGGGGAACACGGAAUACCUGGUGUAGCGGUGAAAUGCGCAGAUAUCAGGUGGAACACCGAUGGCGAAGGCAGUGUUCUGGGCCAGUACUGACGCUGAGGAGCGAAAGCGUGGGGAGCAAACAGG
This 255-nucleotide ribosomal RNA is filed under the name uncultured bacterium. RNAcentral describes it as "partial 16S ribosomal RNA". It matches the Rfam family "Bacterial small subunit ribosomal RNA", at positions 524 to 776 of the family's 1533-position model. The record is from RNAcentral.